CCUACGGGGGGCUGCAGUGAGGAAUAUUGGUCAAUGGGCUUACGCCUGAACCAGCCAAGUCGCGUGAGGGAAGACUGCCCUAUGGGUUGUAAACCUCUUUUGUCAGGGAGCAAUUGGCGCUACGUGUAGCGUUAUCGAGAGUACCUGAAGAAAAAGCAUCGGCUAACUCCGUGCCAGCAGCCGCGGUAAUACGGAGGAUGCGAGCGUUAUCCGGAUUUAUUGGGUUUAAAGGGUGCGUAGGCGGAAUGCCAAGUCAGCGGUAAAAUCGCGGGGCUCAACCUCGCUCCGCCGUUGAAACUGGCGUACUUGAGUGGGCGAGAAGUAUGCGGAAUGCGUGGUGUAGCGGUGAAAUGCGUAGAUAUAUGGAAGAACACCAGUGGCGAAAGCGGCUCUCUGGUCUGUAACUGACGCUGAGGUUCGAAAGCGUGGGUAGCAAACAGGAUUAGAUACCCCAGUAGUC
This 460-nucleotide ribosomal RNA is filed under the name uncultured bacterium. Its description in RNAcentral is "partial 16S ribosomal RNA". It matches the Rfam family "Bacterial small subunit ribosomal RNA", at positions 338 to 795 of the family's 1533-position model. The record is from RNAcentral.